RNAcentral lists this transfer RNA (70 nucleotides) under Camelus bactrianus (Bactrian camel). It matches the Rfam family "tRNA". From Rfam's summary of the family: Transfer RNA (tRNA) molecules are approximately 80 nucleotides in length. Their secondary structure includes four short double-helical elements and three loops (D, anti-codon, and T loops). Further hydrogen bonds mediate the characteristic L-shaped molecular structure. tRNAs have two regions of fundamental functional importance: the anti-codon, which is responsible for specific mRNA codon recognition, and the 3' end, to which the tRNAs corresponding amino acid is attached (by aminoacyl-tRNA synthetases). tRNAs cope with the degeneracy of the genetic code in two manners: having more than one tRNA (with a specific anti-codon) for a particular amino acid; and 'wobble' base-pairing, i.e. permitting non-standard base-pairing at the 3rd anti-codon position. Lineage: Eukaryota; Metazoa; Chordata; Mammalia; Artiodactyla; Camelidae. RNAcentral also lists the same sequence under 3 other names. The record is from Rfam by way of RNAcentral.
GGAUAUAGCUCAUGGGUAGAGUGCAUGCUUAGCAUGCAUGAGGUCCUGGGUUCAAUCCCCACCACCUCCA